Non-coding RNA from Vibrio metschnikovii CIP 69.14, 147 nucleotides. The record is from Rfam. NCBI's taxonomy places the organism in Bacteria, Pseudomonadati, Pseudomonadota, Gammaproteobacteria, Vibrionales, Vibrionaceae.
UCAAUCUCGGACUGCGUUUUCUGGGGGAUACGCGUGGUGAACAUUCAAGCUGAUUGCGGCACCACGUAGGGUAGGUAUCAGCAAACCUUUUGCUGAUAGACGGGAUACUCUUGCUGUGGAAACAGCAUGUGAAUGGGAAACCCAACA